AGCGAACGCUGGCGGCGCGCCUAAUACAUGCAAGUCGAGCGAGAAGACGUAGCAAUACGUUUGUAAAGCGGCGAACGGGUGAGGAAUACAUGGGUAACCUACCCUCGAGUGGGGAAUAACUAGCCGAAAGGUUAGCUAAUACCGCGUACGCUCCUUGGACUUCGGUUCAGGGAGGAAAGCGAUACCGUGGGUAUCGCGCUCUUGGAUGGGCUCAUGUCCUAUCAGCUUGUUGGUGAGGUAACGGCUCACCAAGGCUUCGACGGGUAGCUGGUCUGAGAGGACGAUCAGCCACACUGGCACUGCGACACGGGCCAGACUCCUACGGGAGGCAGCAGUAAGGAAUAUUGCGCAAUGGGCGAAAGCCUGACGCAGCGACGCCGCGUGGGGGAUGAAGGUCUUCGGAUUGUAAACCCCUUUCGGGAGGGAAGAUGGAACGAGCAAUCGUUCGGACGGUACCUCCAGAAGCAGCCACGGCUAACUUCGUGCCAGCAGCCGCCGCA
This 500-nucleotide ribosomal RNA is filed under the name uncultured bacterium. RNAcentral's name for it is "bacterial SSU rRNA". It matches the Rfam family "Bacterial small subunit ribosomal RNA", at positions 29 to 522 of the family's 1533-position model. The record is from RNAcentral.